GACGAACGCUGGCGGCGUGCCUAAUACAUGCAAGUUGAGCGCUGAAGGUUGGUACUUGUACCAACUGGAUGAGCAGCGAACGGGUGAGUAACGCGUGGGGAAUCUGCCUUUGAGCGGGGGACAACAUUUGGAAACGAAUGCUAGUACCGCAUAAAAACUUUAAACACAAGUUUUAAGUUUGAAAGAUGCAAUUGCAUCACUCAAAGAUGAUCCCGCGUUGUAUUAGCUAGUUGGUGAGGUAAAGGCUCACCAAGGCGAUGAUACAUAGCCGACCUGAGAGGGUGAUCGGCCACAUUGGGACUAAGACACGGCCCAAACUCCUACGGGAGGCAGCAGUAGGGAAUCUUCGGCAAUGGACGAAAGUCUGACCGAGCAACGCCGCGUGAGUGAAGAAGGUUUUCGGAUCGUAAAACUCUGUUGGUAGAGAAGAACGUUGGUGAGAGUGGAAAGCUCAUCAAGUGACGGUAACUACCCAGAAAGGGACGGCUAACUACGUG
This 497-nucleotide ribosomal RNA is filed under the name uncultured bacterium. RNAcentral describes it as "partial 16S ribosomal RNA". It matches the Rfam family "Bacterial small subunit ribosomal RNA", at positions 28 to 507 of the family's 1533-position model. The record is from RNAcentral.